Molecule: ribosomal RNA, 466 nt
Filed under: uncultured bacterium
Lineage: Bacteria
Description: partial 16S ribosomal RNA
Rfam family: Bacterial small subunit ribosomal RNA
Source: RNAcentral
CCUACGGGAGGCAGCAGUGGGGAAUUUUGCGCAAUGCUCGUAAGAGUGACGCAGCGACGCCGCGUGAAUGACGAAGGCCUUCGGGUCGUAAAGUUCUUUCGACAGGGAAGAAAAUGCCUAUAAGUAACUGUGUAUGUAUUGACGGUACCUGUAUAAGCAGCCCCGGCUAACUCCGUGCCAGCAGCCGCGGUAAUACGGAGGGGGGCGAGCGUUGUUAGGAGUGACGGGGCGUAAAGAGCAUGUAGGCGGUGUUGUAAGUCAUUAGUGAAAGACUAGAGCUCCACUUUAGUAAGGCUAGUGAUACUAUAAUACUAGAGUAUCAGAGAGGAUUGUAGAAUUCCGGGUGUAGCGGUGAAAUGCGUAGAUAUCAGGAGGAAUACCAGUAGCGAAGGCGGCAAGCUGGCUGGAAACUGACGCUGAGGUGCGAAAGCGUGGGUAGCAAACAGGAUUAGAUACCCUUGUAGUC